CUUAAAUUGAAGAGUUUGAUCAUGGCUCAGAUUGAACGCUGGCGGCAGGCCUAACACAUGCAAGUCGAGCGGAAACGGGUUAUCUCAACCUUCGGAA
Molecule: ribosomal RNA, 97 nt
Filed under: Vibrio parahaemolyticus
Lineage: Bacteria; Pseudomonadati; Pseudomonadota; Gammaproteobacteria; Vibrionales; Vibrionaceae
Description: partial 16S ribosomal RNA
Rfam family: Bacterial small subunit ribosomal RNA
Source: RNAcentral